GACGAACGCUGGCGGCGUGCUUAACACAUGCAAGUCGAACGGAAAGGCCCUGCUUUUGUGGGGUGCUCGAGUGGCGAACGGGUGAGUAACAAGUGAGUAACCUGCCCUUGACUUUGGGGUAACUUCAGGAAACUGGGGCUAAUAACGGAUAGGAGCUCCUGCUGCAUGGUGGGGGGUGGAAAGUUUCGGCGGUUGGGGAUGGACUCGCGGCUUAUCAGCUUGUUGGUGGGGUAGUGGCUUACCAAGGCUUUGACGGGUAGCCGGCCUGAGAGGGUGACCGGCCACAUUGGGACUGAGAUACGGCCCAGACUCCUACGGGAGGCAGCAGUGGGGAAUAUUGCACAAUGGGCGGAAGCCUGAUGCAGCAACGCCGCGUGCGGGAUGACGGCCUUCGGGUUGUAAACCGCUUUCGCCUGUGACGAAGCGUGAGUGACGGUAAUGGGUAAAGAAGCACCGGCUAACUACGUG
This 468-nucleotide ribosomal RNA is filed under the name uncultured bacterium. RNAcentral's name for it is "partial 16S ribosomal RNA". It matches the Rfam family "Bacterial small subunit ribosomal RNA", at positions 28 to 507 of the family's 1533-position model. The record is from RNAcentral.